Unclassified non-coding RNA from Gorilla gorilla gorilla (western lowland gorilla), 107 nucleotides. It matches the Rfam family "Y RNA". From Rfam's summary of the family: Y RNAs are components of the Ro ribonucleoprotein particle (Ro RNP), in association with Ro60 and La proteins. The Y RNAs and Ro60 and La proteins are well conserved, but the function of the Ro RNP is not known. Lineage: Eukaryota; Metazoa; Chordata; Mammalia; Primates; Hominidae. The record is from Ensembl.
AGCUGGUCCAAAGACAGUGAGUUAUCUCGAUUGUUCAGUCAGUUACAGAACAAACUCCUUGUUCUACUCUUUUCCCUGUUCUCACUACUGCACUUUAGUAGUCUUAA